This 345-nucleotide ribosomal RNA is filed under the name uncultured bacterium. Its description in RNAcentral is "bacterial SSU rRNA". It matches the Rfam family "Bacterial small subunit ribosomal RNA", at positions 8 to 334 of the family's 1533-position model. The record is from RNAcentral.
AGGGUUUGAUUCUGGCUCAGGAUGAACGCUGGCGGCGUGCUUAACACAUGCAAGUCGAACGGGAAACCUAUUAUUGAAACUUCGGUCGAUUUAAUUUGUUUCUACCGGCGCACGGGUGAGUAACGCGUAUCCAACCUGCCCAUGGCUGGGGGAUAACCUUGCGAAAGCAAGCCUAAUACCCCAUGGUCUCCCUCCGGGGCAUCCCGGCGGGAGUAAAGGAGCGAUCCGGCGAUGGAUGGGGAUGCGUCCGAUUAGCUUGCCGGUGGGGUGACGGCCCACCGGGGCGACGAUCGGUAGGGGUUCUGAGAGGAAGGUCCCCCACACUGGAACUGAGACACGGUCCAG